RNAcentral lists this ribosomal RNA (253 nucleotides) under uncultured bacterium. RNAcentral's name for it is "partial 16S ribosomal RNA". It matches the Rfam family "Bacterial small subunit ribosomal RNA", at positions 524 to 776 of the family's 1533-position model. The record is from RNAcentral.
UACAGAGGGUGCAAACGUUGCUCGGAAUUAUUGGGCGUAAAGCGCGUGUAGGCGGCUUGUUAAGUCGGUUGUGAAAACCCAUGGCUCAACCAUGGAAGGGCGUCCGAAACUGGCAAGCUAGAGUCCCGACGAGGAUGGCGGAAUUCCCAGUGUAGAGGUGAAAUUCGUAGAUAUUGGGAGGAACACCGGUGGCGAAGGCGGCCAUCUGGGAGGGCACUGACGCUGAGAUGCGAAAGCGUGGGGAGCAAACAGG